UACGUAGGGGGCUAGCAUUAUCCGGAAUUACUGGGCGUAAAGGGUGCGUAGGUGGUUUCUUAAGUCAGAGGUGAAAGGCUACGGCUCAACCGUAGUAAGCCUUUGAAACUGGGGAACUUGAGUGCAGGAGAGGAGAGUGGAAUUCCUAGUGUAGCGGUGAAAUGCGUAGAUAUUAGGAGGAACACCAGUUGCGAAGGCGGCUCUCUGGACUGUAACUGACACUGAGGCACGAAAGCGUGGGGAGCAAACAGG
Molecule: ribosomal RNA, 252 nt
Filed under: uncultured bacterium
Lineage: Bacteria
Description: partial 16S ribosomal RNA
Rfam family: Bacterial small subunit ribosomal RNA
Source: RNAcentral